This 631-nucleotide long non-coding RNA is filed under the name Physcomitrium patens. RNAcentral describes it as "long non-coding RNA (PPAT_LNC004502)". The record is from RNAcentral. Lineage: Eukaryota; Viridiplantae; Streptophyta; Bryopsida; Funariales; Funariaceae.
UGUGGAAGGAAGAAUGGAAAUUACAAUAACAAAAUCCUAAUUCUAAUAGAAUACUAACAAUGCUCUAAUUAGACCAUAAUAAUGCUAAGCAAGCUUAAUCAAAUUCAAAAAAACCUCAAAGAAAUUUCAAACAAACAAUAAAAAUUCUUAAAGAAAUAUUAAAAGGAUCACAAAUAUCACUCAAAUAUAUCUCAAUUCAAUCUUAAUUUAAUUCUAGUUAAAAUCCUAUUAAAAUUCAUUAAAAAUUUAGGCCAAAAUUAAUUGAAUCUUAAAUCCUAAUAAAAUUCCAAACCCUAAAUCAAACCCUAAACAAACCUUAAACCAAACCUCAACCAAAUCCUAAACCAAAUCCUAACCAAAUCCUAAACCAAAUCCUAAACUCUACAUAAAAUCCUAACUAAAUCCUAAACCAAAUCCUAACCAAAUUCUAAAUCCUAAAUAAACCCUAACUAAACCCUAAUCCAAACCCUAAAUCCAAACCAAAUCCUAACCAAACCCUAAACCCUAAAUCAAACUCUAAUUCAAAUCCUAAAUCCUAAAUCAAACCCUAAUCCUAAACCAAAUCCUAAACCCCAAAUCAAACCCUAAUCCAAACCCUAAUCAAACCUUAAAUCAAAUCCUAAAUCAAAUC